This 391-nucleotide ribosomal RNA is filed under the name uncultured eukaryote. RNAcentral describes it as "partial 18S ribosomal RNA". It matches the Rfam family "Eukaryotic small subunit ribosomal RNA", at positions 1470 to 1796 of the family's 1831-position model. The record is from RNAcentral.
CCCUUAGAUGUCCGGGGCUGCACGCGCGCUACAAUGGUCGGAGCAGAAUGAAAAGAGACGGCUCCGCGAGGCGGGAGCGUCCUUCGGGGCCUCCCGUUCUUAAUGGUUGACCGUUCCCCGGGUCGACGGGCCCGGGAGAUCGGCUGGAAUCUCGAUCGUGAUCGGGACAGAGUCUUGUAAUUGUUACUCUCAAACGAGGAAUUCCUAGUAGGCGCGAGUCAUGACCUCGCGUCGACUGCGUCCCUGCCCUUUGUACACACCGCCCGUCGCUACUACCGAUCGAGCGCCCUAGCGAGUCGUCCGAUUGUCGCCGAGGCCGGCUUUCGCGAGCUGCGCAUCCGACGAAAAGGCGAUCGAACUCGAGCGCUUAGAGGAAGUAAAAGUCGUAACA